This is a long non-coding RNA of Drosophila suzukii, 994 nucleotides long. RefSeq lists it as uncharacterized. The record is from RefSeq and is a predicted model, not a curated record. NCBI's taxonomy places the organism in Eukaryota, Metazoa, Arthropoda, Insecta, Diptera, Drosophilidae.
AGUUGCCAGAUCGUUGAUUCUAGUGCAAGGGGGAAUGGUAAUUUUGGUGCAAGUGGUAAAUGUUUAUUAAUUUCAAUUUGUGUUUAAAUUAUUAUUGCGGUGGGAUACAGUUUAUUAAUAUUCCCCUCUAAGUGAGGCAACUAUGGGCCCAUGGGCAGUAUGUACAUACAUAUAUAUUUUCCAUUUCCAUUGCCGUUUAAUGAGGGGAUGACCAUUGGUUUGGAAAACUAACAAGUACGAGCAUAAUGAAUAAUGCUUAAGCACGCGCGAAACCAAGAGGUGUGAAAUUGGGCUCACGGGCGGUACUUAGGCUUUUCGGUUCUUUAACUUCUUUAAGAACUGGGUUCUGGCAAAUGCACCAGAUGACCAAUGAAAAAAAAACGGUUUUGUUUUUGGCGGAAGUGCAGCAGUACCUUUCUAUGGAUGAGAACCUGCAGUUCGUGCUGACAGCGAGCGCAAUUACAUAAAUGUUUGUUUUGACAACAAUAGCGGCUGGGCUGCAACAAAAACCACAAUACCAAAAACAACAAUAAUGCCGGAGACGAGAUUGCAUAAUUGCUUGUAAGAUUUUGCUCCCACAAUUUCUCAUUUUUUGUCAUGAGACAAACAUACCGGCUGAUUGUUAUCUCAGCCACAAGAGAGGAAAAGAGAGGAAGAGAUGUGAAUUGAGAGAGUGAUCCUUUUACCGCAACUUCCGACGCAGGCUCUCAAUCACGAGCUUUUUCGCCUGCAAAAGCUGCUCUCUUAGCGUGCAACAGAGAUGCUCAAUGCCAUGGAGAGAGAGUCACAGUGGGCACUUUGUUUAUUUUUGCGCUGCUUAUCUAAAUGUAUUCAAAUAUAGCCAUAAAUUGUAAUGUAGCACUUUCGUAAUUGUCGGCUUUAUUUAUGCACUGUGAACAGCCAGCGGCUAGCUAGCGCCGUUGCCUAUUCCACCGUCCACGCUCUAAUGGUCAACCAGUGUUGGCAAUUUAAAUAGUUUAUGGCUAUAUUUAAA